AACAUUCAUUCAUUCGCCAAUAGGAUUGGCCCUUCCAACAGAAUAGCUCUGUUUCAAGACUCCGAUUAUCUCUUCGGCAACACCUUUCUGGUGAACACUGAUUGAAGGCCGAGCUUCCGGAUAGCAAUGGGACCUGGUGGACCGGGAGGAGGACCAGGAGAUCCUUGGGGCCCUGGAUUUGGAGGGCCAGGAGGUCCUGGUGGUUUCUUUGGUGGCUUUGCGAAUGGUUUGUGCAACAUGAUAUCUUCAUGCUUCUAUUGCCUCUGCUGUUGUUGGCUACUGCAAGACUGCUUUGGCGGACCCCGUGGCUAUGGCCCUCCCCCUUUCUAAUCCUCUCUCACCUGCUGCCUGCUGCCUGCUGCCCUGCUUGUGUUGUGUAAUGCCUUUUAAUAAACUUUACAAUCUAGUCAUUGCUUCUUAUUGUUGUUUUCCCUACUAUUUUCUUCUAUUUCCCUGUAAACUUUUAUCAGCGUUCAUAAAUGAUGUUAUAGACUGGUUGGAAUUUCCUUGUUAUCGU
Hibiscus syriacus is the source of this 517-nucleotide long non-coding RNA. RefSeq lists it as uncharacterized. The transcript is spliced from 2 exons. The record is from RefSeq and is a predicted model, not a curated record. NCBI's taxonomy places the organism in Eukaryota, Viridiplantae, Streptophyta, Magnoliopsida, Malvales, Malvaceae.